Long non-coding RNA from Echinops telfairi (small Madagascar hedgehog), 636 nucleotides. RefSeq lists it as uncharacterized. Lineage: Eukaryota; Metazoa; Chordata; Mammalia; Afrosoricida; Tenrecidae. The transcript has 3 exons. The record is from RefSeq and is a predicted model, not a curated record.
GCCCAGGCUGAGGCAGCAGCAACAGCACCCCAGGCGGGAACAGCAGGGCAUCUGCAGGCCUCUGCCGGAAGUUCUUCAGCAGAGGCCGGUCCAGAUUCAGAGUCUGCAGCUUUCAGCACACGGAGAUGUCUUUUCAUUGUCUUCUGCCUCGCGUGGCACCUACGAUGAUCCUCUGAAGGAAGCCAACUACCCAAAGAACACACACCUCUGUCUUGGGAGACGUACAGCCAGGAGCCCCUCAGAAGGGAGGAGGAGGAGACCCCGUCUCACACGUUGGGCAGGUUCUCCGGAGAGACCAGUCCCGGGAAAAGGACAGCGUACUUGGGGAAGUAGAAGGACCAUGAAGAACAGAAGGGUUCUUAUGGGCUGACACAGCGGCUGGACCCUGGGGUCCACCGUGAGGGCAGCUGUGAGGGUGGCGGGUCGCAGGGUCACUGUGAGUCGCAACCUCUUCGACGGCACCUAACCCACAGGGACACCGCGGGAGCCCAACGAUGUAUGAGUGGAUUUUCCCACUAUUCCCUUCUCCGCCUGGUAUCACCACCCUUUUGUCUCUCUGGGCUUCAUUCUGGGGACCCUUUUCUGACCUAUUUUACAAUUCACCAGUACACCUAUCCAAAGAAGUACGUAAUUUCA